GAUGAAGAACGCAGCGAAAUGCGAUACUUGGUGUGAAUUGCAGAAUCCCGUGAACCAUCGAGUCUUUGAACGCAAGUUGCGCCUCAAGCCAUUAGGUUGAGGGCACGUCUGCCUGGGCGUCACAUAUCGUUGCCUGAUGCCAGUUUCCUCGUGAUGGGUGACUGUGCAGGGCGAAUGAUGGCUUCCCGUGAGCAUUGUUGCCUCAUGGUUGGUUGAAAAUUGAGUCCUUGGUAGGGAGCGCCGUGAUAGCUGGUGGUUGAGUGACGAACGAGACCCAAUCAUGUGAGACCCCUACCGAAUUUGGCCUUCAUGACCCACAUGCGUCUUUGGAACGCUCAUGACGAGACCUAAGGUCAGGCGGGGCUACCCGCUGAGUUUAAGCAUAUCAAUAAGCGGAGGA
Molecule: unclassified non-coding RNA, 400 nt
Filed under: soil metagenome
Description: partial contains 5.8S ribosomal RNA, internal transcribed spacer 2, and large subunit ribosomal RNA
Rfam family: 5.8S ribosomal RNA (bases 1-122)
Source: RNAcentral